GNGUUGUAAAACGACGGCCAGUGAAUUCGAGCUCGGUACCUCGCGAAUGCAUCUAGAUUCCUACGGGAGGCAGCAGUGGGGAAUUUUGGACAAUGGGGGAAACCCUGAUCCAGCAAUGCCGCGUGUGCGAAGAAGGCCUUCGGGUUGUAAAGCACUUUUGUCAGGGAAGAAAUCCUUUGGGCUAAUACCCUAGGGGGAUGACGGUACCUGAAGAAUAAGCACCGGCUAACUCUGUGCCAGCAGCCGCGGUAAUACAGAGGGUGCGAGCGUUAAUCGGAUUUACUGGGCGUAAAGCGUGCGUAGGCGGCUUUUUAAGUCGGAUGUGAAAUCCCCGAGCUUAACUUGGGAAUUGCAUUCGAUACUGGGAAGCUAGAGUAUGGGAGAGGAUGGUAGAAUUCCAGGUGUAGCGGUGAAAUGCGUAGAGAUCUGGAGGAAUACCGAUGGCGAAGGCAGCCAUCUGGCCUAAUACUGACGCUGAGGUACGAAAGCAUGGGGAGCAAACAGGAUUAGAUACCCUGGUAGUCCAUGCCGUAAACGAUGUCUACUAGCCGUUGGGGCCUUUGAGGCUUUAGUGGCGCAGCUAACGCGAUAAGUAGACCGCCUGGGGAGUACGUCGCA
RNAcentral lists this ribosomal RNA (618 nucleotides) under uncultured Gammaproteobacteria bacterium. Its description in RNAcentral is "bacterial SSU rRNA". It matches the Rfam family "Bacterial small subunit ribosomal RNA", at positions 263 to 890 of the family's 1533-position model. Lineage: Bacteria; Pseudomonadati; Pseudomonadota; Gammaproteobacteria. The record is from RNAcentral.